AUGACCUCAAAUAUAGGAGCAGAGCACCUACCGUCGAGAAUUAUGGGCGAAAAUACAAUCAAAUCUGGAAGAGAUCUCCUCAUGAAUCAGGUUAAGAAGCGCUUUAAGCCUGAACUUAUCAAUAGACUAAAUAAGGUUGUGAUAUUCGAGCCACUUUCACACGAUGAAUUGAGGAAGAUUGUGAAAAUCCAGAUAAAUAAUGUCAUUUCGACAGUAGCUUCCAAGGGUGUCGCUGUACAUGCAACUGAUGCGGCCCUAGACGUCAUCCUGUCAGAAUCACAUGACCCGGUGGACGGCGCAAGGCCCAUUAGAAGGUGGGUGCAGAAUCACGUGACCACGAUUCUCUCGGACAUGCUGGUCGACGGAGAAGCCUGUGCUGGCUCGACAAUCUCCAUCGAUGCUGCCGCUGACGAUAAGAGGGGGCUAACGUUCCAAGUGCUGAAGAAGCAGCAGGAGUUGGCAGAUCAAUGA
Molecule: ribosomal RNA, 471 nt
Filed under: Triticum aestivum (bread wheat)
Lineage: Eukaryota; Viridiplantae; Streptophyta; Magnoliopsida; Poales; Poaceae
Description: partial small subunit ribosomal RNA
Source: RNAcentral